AUGUUGCUGGAAAAACUAGUGCCUCCAAGCACAUUGAGGAAGUUGAAAAUAUGUGGUUAUAACAGUGUCAUCUUUCCAGGCUGGGUAGUGGGCCAACUACCAAACCUGAAGUCACUGGUUCUCAGAGAUAUGGCAAAUCUGGAAGAAUGGGACACUUCAUACUCCACCGGUGAGGAGAACGUGUUAAACAGAGUAGACAUACAUGGUUGCCCAAUGCUAAGGAUGAAAGGGCCUCUGCCUAAAGCUAAACAAUGGGAGAUAAGAUGCAGUGAUAAUGUGUUAUCAUCAUGGGAUGAGUGCAUUGUGUCACACACCAGUACUUCCUCCUCUUCUUCUACAGUAACUACUUGGUUGUCAGUUAGAGACUGCAAGGGGCCUCAUCAAUGGAGGUGGCUUCAACACUUCCCUGGACUCCCUUCUUUGGAUAUUACCAAUUGCUGUGAUCUAACCAGCUCACCAGAGAUCAAUCAACAACUAUCCUCUUUACAGACACUGUCCCUAAGAGAUUUACACAUGGAAGAACUGCCAAUAUGGUUGGGCGAGCUCCCAUCUCUGAAGAAUCUAGAAAUAAGCGGCAGCGAUGGUGUAAAGGAGUUGAACGAGAACAUGAGGCAACUCAUAAAGCUUGAAUCACUAGAACUGAGCUUCUGCAAAAGCAUAUCAGUGUCACAUUGGCUGGGCGAAUUAACCUCUCUCAAGGAACUUUGCAUGAAUUACAAUUUUGGCUUGAGGUCUUUGCCGGCAAGCAUACAACAGCUCACCAUCCUCCAGGAAAUAACCCUUGAGUGGUGCAUUGCAUUAGAGCACGUGGUUGCUGAACCAGAGGAGGGAAAGAUGAAGCUAACUCACAACCAAGAAAUGGUAUGUCUCCUGCCCACCUCCCUUAGGAAGCUUAAGAUCACUGGAUGUAUUAGUAUCAAGUCUUUGCCCGAGGGAAUGCAGCAACUCACAAACCUCCAAGAACUUGAGAUUGUUACGUGCCCUGGACUAAAGCAAUGGUAUGAAUUAGAGGAGAACAAGAUGAAGCUGGCUCACAUAGAAGAGAAGAGUAUCUGGUUCUAG
Molecule: ribosomal RNA, 1062 nt
Filed under: Triticum aestivum (bread wheat)
Lineage: Eukaryota; Viridiplantae; Streptophyta; Magnoliopsida; Poales; Poaceae
Description: partial small subunit ribosomal RNA
Source: RNAcentral